Molecule: long non-coding RNA, 4179 nt
Filed under: Brassica napus (rape)
Lineage: Eukaryota; Viridiplantae; Streptophyta; Magnoliopsida; Brassicales; Brassicaceae
Description: long non-coding RNA (BNAP_LNC022605)
Source: RNAcentral
UUCCAGGGAGAAGGGUGUCAACAUAAAAGGAUACUUUGCAUGGGCUCUUGGAGAUAAUUAUGAAUUCUGCAAAGGUUUUACCGUUAGAUUCGGACUUAGUUACGUUAACUGGACAGACCUCAAUGAUAGAAAUCUCAAAAAAUCUGGCAAAUGGUACCAAAGCUUUAUUAACGGUACCACUAAGAACCCUGCCAAACAAGAUUUCCGCCGCCCAAACCUCUCCCUCCGCAACCAGAAGAAGAACCUCGCAGAUGCAUGAAACACUUUAUCCCACCUUCAUGAUCAUCUUCAUAUCUCUACUACUUGCUUCAUAGAAAAGGGGCUUAUUGUACUAAAUAAAUAUUCCAAUAAAAGAUGAUCAUUUUUACUAAUGAAUAUUUUAGUUUGAGUUCAAUCCCUUCUUACCGCUUCAGUUACGUUUUACUUUGGAUGAUUAGUGAUGUAGAGUGAGCUACGAUGACACUAGAAUAUUCUUUAGUCAGAGAAUUCCUAUGAUGAAUGUCUUAUUUUAAUCGUUGAAAACACCAAGGAUUAAAGAACACCAAUGUAGUGAAGAUGGACGUUUAAGGGGAGAAGGAGGCUGAAGUGGAGGAUGAGAUUGAACUGAAAAUGAAGGUUGCAUGGGAGGUUCAAGAGGCAAAGGGUGAUACAAAAUGUUGUAGAUCAAAUGUUAGUAAACCCGCAUGAAGCAAAAUUACUGGCUCUCCCUCACGGUUUGCGAUCUUUGAAGAAGAUGAAGGAGAAGGAAAUAGUUUGGCAGUACAAAUAGACACAGAUAGUUAUUCAAAUUUCCACUUAACUUGAAAGAGAAGAAGGGGAGACUGAACAUGUGUCAGUCAGUCAAACGAUGGAGGAAGAAAUCCAAAAGGAGAAACACGAGGAGAAACAGCUUAUCUCAUAUUUUCAUCGAAAUGUAAAAACAAAAAAUUCAGAUUGUUUUGAUUCAAACACUGCAAAUGCAAAGGAUCUAGCUCCUAGCGUAGCAGGUAGAAGAAGAAUCACCCAGAAGAAAUAAUCAUGUCAGCUUUGUGUUGGGUUCCUCCUAGUGGGGAAACCCAAUGGUGUGAUUGUGGUGAAAAUGAGAAGUUAAUCUAGAGGAUCAAAGUGACCACUUGAGAAAUUCAUCUUGAGCAAACUUUGAUGCUCUAGGUAACACAAUCACAUAUUUUAAGUUUGGGCCAAUGAUAUUUAUCCAUGAGAUGGUAUUGGGCAUUGGUGGGUUAGUGAGACAGGACUAUAUAACCUAAUUUUGUGGUAAGCUAAGCAAAAAGAAAGCAAGAACUAAGAAAAGGAAGCACAAGAGAGAAAGGAGAUAAAGAGGAAAGUCGUCUUGGUUUGUCAAGGCAGGGUUUGGAGGGUCAAACGGAUCCUGAUCUGGCUGAUACUUUGUGGGAAGCUUCGUCAUUCAGUUGGUUAGAGGUUCACCAAAGGGAUUUGGAUUUCAACGGUUGGAUCUUCUGAGAUAUGGGUUUUAGUGAAGCUGGUUGUCAGUAUUUUUCAGCAGUUCUGUCUUGAGUGUUUGGUAAAUUUGACGGUGAGGUCUUCUCUGUUUUGAGCUGGGAUUUGGCAGAGGUACUACUGGGUUGUUGCUGCUGGUCUUGAAGCUUUGUGUUGCUCUCUUGUGGUUGUGUUCUUGUGUUGGAGAUAGCUUUUGUAGCUGAGUCUCUGUUCUGUUCAGGUUGUUGAACAGGGAGGACGUGGUUGUACUCACAUACAUUUAUAUAGUGGAUUGUUGAGUGGACUACGGUCCCGUGGUUUUUUUCUUCUCACAUCGAGUAGGUUUUCUACGUAAAAAGUGUUUGUCUCAUUUAGUUAUUGCUUAUACUAUAUCCUGCUAUCUUCGAAGUAUUUUCCUCUCAGAUUCUCACAAGGUCAGGGGGAACACGAUAGUACAUUCCGCUGCACUGUGUGUUUUAACCCCAUCAAAGUGGUAUCAGAGCUUUUGGUUUUAGAGCUUUGGGGUUGAUAACUUCGGGUUAUGGUUGCUUGUGAGAAUGAUGGAAAAUACGAGCAGGGUGAUAAGCUUGAAUGGUGCUAAAUAUCAUCUAUGGAAGGGUAAGAUGGAGGAUUUUCUCUUUGUUAAAGAAUUCCAUUUUCAAGUCUUCGAGGAGAAGAAAUCUGAGAAGAAGACGGAUAAAGAGUGGAAGCUUCUGCAUCGCCAAGUGUGUGGGUUGAUAAGGCAGUGGGUAGAUGAUAAUGUGUUGCAUCAUAUUGAGACUGAGACGGAUGCUCGUUCUUUGUGGAAGAAGCUGGAGCAGUUGUAUGCAAGGAAGACCGGAAACAACAAGAUGUACAUGAUCAAGAAGUUGAUUGAGCUGAGGUAUCAGGAGGAAACUCCGAUGACGGGUCACUUGAAUCGUUUUAGGGAUUGCUCAACAAGCUGUCUGAUAUGGGCAUCAAGUUUGAUGAUGAGAUUCACGGUCUAUGGCUUCUCGGUACUUUACUGGAUUCUUGAGAGGUUUUUAGGAUGUCUCUUUGUAACUCCGUGUCGGAAGGUGUUAUUUCGAUGGAUUCAGUGAAGAACAGUGUUCUUAAUGAGGAAGCAAGAAGACAGUCGAACGCUAGCAGUUCGUGUUCAGAUGUCUUUGUUACUGAGUCAAGGGGGAGGAGUUCGAGUAGAGAUCCCAGAGAGACAAGAACAGGAGCAGGAGAAAAUCUAAUAAAUUUGCUAACAUGGAGUGCUAUUUCUGUCACAAGAAAGGGCACAUGAAGAAGGAUUGUUGGAAGUUGAAAAACAAGCAGCAAGGAAAUCAAGAAGAAAAAGUGGAUCGGGUGACUGUCACCGAAGAUCAGUUUUUCAUUCUUCUUGAGGGUGAUGCCAUUAAUGUUGCAUGCCAAAACACCAGUUGGGUGAUUGAUAGUGGAGCUACUACUCAUGCAACAUCACAGCGGGAUUUGUUUUCUACCUAUACUACGGGUAAUUAUGGUUCCGUGAAGAUGGGAAAUGAUGCAAUGGCUCAGGUUGCUGGCAUUGGCGAUAUAUGCUUGGAGACUAGUCUUGGGACUAGGUUGAUGCUUAAGGAUGUUAAGCAUGUCCCUGAUAUUAGGAUGAAUCUGAUAUCAACGGGAAGGCUUGAUGAUGAGGGUUAUUUCAGUUUGCACGGUGGUGGUAAAUGGAAGCUCUCUCGCGGUGCUUUGAUUGUGGCUCGAGGUGAGAAAUCCUCAUCCUUCUAUUAGAUGCAGGCUAAGGUCUCCAAAGACGCUGUUAAUGCGGUGGAGAAUGAUGGUGCCAUGGAGUUAUGGCAUAAGAGACUCGGUCACAUGAGUGAGAAGGGAAUGUCUGUGUUGUCUAAGAAUGAGGUGAUUCCAGGAAUCUGUGGUUUGCACCUGCAGAAGUGAUCGCAUUGCUUUGCGGGAAAACAACACAAGGUGUCUUUCAAGUCUUAUGCGCCUUCUAGGAAACCCGAGGUACUCGAUUUGGUACAUUCAGAUGUGUGUGGUCCAAUGAAGACAAGAUCCAUUUGCAGCGCAUCAUAUUUUGUGACUUUCAUUGAUGAUCAUUCAAGGAAGUUGUGGUUAUUUCCUAUGAGGACGAAGGAUCAGGUGCUGGGAUAUUUCAACCAUUUUGUGGCGUUGGUAGAGAGACAAACGGGAAAGAAGCUGAAGUGUAUCCGCAGUGAUAAUUGUGGAGAGUAUUCUGGACCAUUUGAUGCUUAUUGUAAAGAGCAUGGAAUAAGACAUCAGUUCACGCCACCAUGAUGAUCUAAUUAGGAUUUAGUACUCCCGGUGAAGAAACCCGUGAGAAAGCUGUUGCUGAUUCCAAGCGGAUCGAUUAUCUCUGCAGUCAUCUAUGUUUUCUCCGCAAGGUCAUCAGGUGAGUGGAAGCUACUUUAUUUUUUUCUCUUUUGAAUUUGAUGUAUGGUCAUCAUCAUGCACAUGCUUUGAAUUAUGUUUUUUUUUUCUGUUUCCAGGGAGAAGGGUGUCAACAUAAAAGGAUACUUUGCAUGGGCUCUUGGAGAUAAUUAUGAAUUCUGCAAAGGUUUUACCGUUAGAUUCGGACUUAGUUACGUUAACUGGACAGACCUCAAUGAUAGAAAUCUCAAAAAAUCUGGCAAAUGGUACCAAAGCUUUAUUAACGGUACCACUAAGAACCCUGCCAAACAAGAUUUCUGCCCCCCAAACCUCUCCUUCCAGAACCAGAAGAAGAAGCUCUCAGAUGCAUGAAACACUUUAUCCCAC